RNAcentral lists this ribosomal RNA (595 nucleotides) under Vishniacozyma carnescens. RNAcentral describes it as "partial large subunit ribosomal RNA". It matches the Rfam family "Eukaryotic large subunit ribosomal RNA", at positions 38 to 618 of the family's 3401-position model. Lineage: Eukaryota; Fungi; Basidiomycota; Tremellomycetes; Tremellales; Bulleribasidiaceae. The record is from RNAcentral.
GCAUAUCAAUAAGCGGAGGAAAAGAAACUAACUAGGAUUCCCUUAGUAACGGCGAGUGAACCGGGAUGAGCUCAAAUUUGAAAUCUGGCGUCUUUCAGGCGUCCGAGUUGUAAUCUAUAGAGGCGUUUUCCGCGCCGGACCGCGUCCAAGUCUCUUGGAAUAGAGUAUCAAAGAGGGUGACAAUCCCGUACUUGACGCGACAACCGGUGCUCUGUGAUACGUUCUCAAUGAGUCGAGUUGUUUGGGAAUGCAGCUCUAAAUGGGUGGUAAAUUCCAUCUAAGGCUAAAUAUUGGCGAGAGACCGAUAGCGAACAAGUACCGUGAGGGAAAGAUGAAAAGCACUUUGGAAAGAGAGUUAAACAGCACGUGAAAUUGUUAAAAGGGAAACGAUUGAAGUCAGUCGUGUGGGAAGUAUUCAGCCGUCUCUGGCGGUGUAUUUGCUUCUCACGGGUCAACAUCAGUUUGAUCCGGUAGAAAAAGGCGGGAAGAAGGUGGCACCCUCGGGUGUGUUAUAGCUUCCUGUCAUAUGUGCCGGACCAGACUGAGGAACGCAGCUUGCAGCAAUGCCGGGGUUCGCCCACGUACAAGCUUAGGA